RNAcentral lists this transfer RNA (74 nucleotides) under Gammaproteobacteria bacterium. Its description in RNAcentral is "tRNA-Gln". It matches the Rfam family "tRNA". Rfam says of the family: Transfer RNA (tRNA) molecules are approximately 80 nucleotides in length. Their secondary structure includes four short double-helical elements and three loops (D, anti-codon, and T loops). Lineage: Bacteria; Pseudomonadati; Pseudomonadota; Gammaproteobacteria. The record is from RNAcentral.
UUCGGGGUCGUCUAACGGUAGGACGGCGGAUUCUGACUCCGCCAAUCGAGGUUCAAGUCCUCGCCCCGAAGCCA